UUUAUUGCGUCUUUCUCCGGAAGUACUCGCAGUUCUCUCUCUAAUCGAUAAUGGAGGACGACGAUGAAUUCGGAGAUCUCUACACCGAUGUACUCCGCCCCUUAACGGCGUCGUUUCAGUCUCAGCAGCAGCCGGUAGCGCAAGAAGAAGCUGCGCCCAAAGCCGCCGGGGCUACGAGCCGGCCGAUCGAUCUGAACAUCAACAGCGAUGAUGAGGAGAUUUUAUACGGAGCUCCGAAUUCGAAUUCGAAACCGAAUUUUGCUGGGCCGAGUGCUAUUACUGGUCAGGAAAAAACCCUAGCUUCUCCGCUAGAUGUUAAAUCCGGGUCGAGGUUACCCGAAUCCAAUCUGUAUUUAAAA
Molecule: unclassified non-coding RNA, 359 nt
Filed under: Hevea brasiliensis (rubber tree)
Lineage: Eukaryota; Viridiplantae; Streptophyta; Magnoliopsida; Malpighiales; Euphorbiaceae
Source: RNAcentral